CUUUCAUUACAAAACUAACCACAUUCAGUUAUGUCUCUGGAUGAGCACUUUCAUGUAGAAUAACAGUUGCUCGUCGGACCAUAUUAUGGUGUGAAUUUGUGGAGCAACAACUAAAUGGAUACCAUAUGGAUGACACAUCUGAAGUCUGCCUGUCAAGCUGAUGUUUUUUAGUUCUCUGUACUGCCAAUUGGUGUUUUUAAGGGGGAAUAGUUCUCUUUAGCCAUCUUUUCAAUAUGUUUUGGAAGAUGAAUGGCUUAAUCUAUAUGGAGGUGUGCCUGCGGAAUUGAUAAUUUUCAUUCGAGUAUAUCCAAGUGUACUCUUCUGAGGGGAUAUACAGGUUUUCUGGGAGCUUCUGUCGUGUUAUGCUAAUCAUCAACAACUAAGGUGCUUUAGUUGCUUUACCCUUGUGGAAAAUAUGAGCCAAAGGUGUCUUAAUCUAUGGUGUCACUAUUCAUGAAGUUUGUAGAGUUUUAUGCGUGCUAGGGUUUUGAUGAAAUGCCUAGAUGACCGAAACAUGAAUGUUUCAUACUAAUAUUUGGUCCUACUUGAUGUGUAUUCUUGUAGAUCGUAAGUUGUAAGGGUGUUUGAACCGUGUUGUACUCAUAAAGGGUGAAAUUAAGGUUUUUGUUUGUUUGGUUCACUCUUUGAGCUAAUGUUUAAGACAUAAUAUAUAUGUUCCAUGAAGUUGUUCCUUGGAAUAAGCAACUAUUAGUAGUUUGAAUCGAUAAUUGAACUUCAAGUAUGGAUGCUCCUGUGAAGAAACCUCAGGAUAAUGGGCAGAAAACCUCAACCGAUGCUGACAUUUUGGCUAAAAGGCUAAAAAACCGGGAGCGUCAACGGAGAUAUAGAGAAAGGAAACGUCUUAAAGCUGAUACAAUGAAGGUCUCGGAGACAAACCAACUAGCUUUACUUCCCGUCGAUGUGCCCGUGAUUGCUGCUCCUCAGGAUAGUAAACUGCCCAUGAAUGCUGCUCCGCUCGACUCUUCGGUUCCAGUAAAUGUUGCUCCUUUGGACUCUUCGGUUCUAGUAAAUAUUGCUCCUCUUGACUCUUCAAUGUCAGUGAAUGUCGCUCCACGGGCAUAUGCAAUGCCAGUGGAUGUUGCUUCCGGAGAAUGUGUGAAGCCGGUGCGCGGCGGUCCCCGCGACUCUGUCACCACCCGUGUUUACUCUGGGCGGAAAUGGAAAAGGGAUGCCCGGAAGGCCCAUGCAGUGAGGCAGAAAGAAGUUAGUACUAAUAGUACGGUCUUGCCAGAUUUAGCUUCGACUGGUGGAGUUGAACGGUCGGAUGUGGCAUUGAGUAAUGUAAUUUCUUCACCUGUGACUGCAUUGAUAAAUAAUGGAACACCCAAAUCUAUUCCGAGCAGGAGAAAUUGGAAAGCAGAAGCUAGAAAUAAGAAGAGCUAAAAUUGUUGACAAUAGGUUAGGUCAAGUAUAUCGUAGAAUAUUAUCAAUUGUUAGCAGCCUUGUUGUAAUCUCAUUAUGUACAACAUUGGAAGGACCGAUGAUAUUAUAUCGGAUGAAUGACUUUUAUGGCUCUUUAACUUAUUGUUUUCAGUUCAACCAAGUGAGAAGAUCCUAAGCAGUGCUUUGGGAAAAUUUUGUUGCUUAUGUCCAGGUUUUGCAAGGUAUGAAGUUAGGUUUUAGAAGUAACUUUAUGAUACUCUUCCACUGCUAGAACUUAAGUGGUUGGGACUUGCUUUCUUCGGACGAAACGGAUCUUCAUACGUUUCGUGGGACUCUGACCGUGUGUUUCUGUACAUAUCUCUGUUGUAUGUGGAGAUCGGUCAUCCCUAAUCCGAUUUGUCACUCAAGAAACUAUCCUUCAAGAUUUGUUGCUUUCUUUGGUUA
Molecule: RNA transcript, 1848 nt
Organism: Lycium ferocissimum
Lineage: Eukaryota; Viridiplantae; Streptophyta; Magnoliopsida; Solanales; Solanaceae
Exons: 4
Source: RefSeq, a predicted model, not a curated record